AUGCAAUGGACCACAGGGAUAAUUUUACCCCGGUGGACUCGGUUGUUUUUUCCUCACGGAGUUAUGAAAAUGAUAUGCCGCCUCAAUACAUCUGAAACAUACAGCCAAUUCAUGCUACUGGGGAAAAUAUCUCUUGGGAAGAAAGAAAAAACAACUCUCUCAGACUGUUGCAUGGGUGGAAUCCGUCAUCGGUUGGGUGAUCGGCACAUCAUUCUCUCCACCGAUGACCGCAGCUCGGGUUGCAGCAGACGAAGAAGAGCGUCAUCCCCUCCUCACCUCUCGCGGUGGCCUAUAGAACACAGCAGAAUCAAGGUGAGGUUCUUGUUCAGGAAGAUUGUAGCAAUAAUGUCAAGUGUCUAUAGAACACAACCGAAUCAAGACAGCUUCGCCGUGGCCACAGACGGCACACCGGACUUCCUUGGUGCGGGGAAGGGUGGGGUCGCCGGCGACGUCCUGGAGCACCUGGGUGAACUCUCCAGCGCUGUGGUGCACCACGUUCCGGUAGACACAGUUGUUGUCUGCAACCUCCUGCAGUCUCAGAACGUUUCAAGUAAUUUUCAGGACGAGGUGGUAUGA
Molecule: ribosomal RNA, 576 nt
Filed under: Triticum aestivum (bread wheat)
Lineage: Eukaryota; Viridiplantae; Streptophyta; Magnoliopsida; Poales; Poaceae
Description: partial small subunit ribosomal RNA
Source: RNAcentral